RNAcentral lists this non-coding RNA (216 nucleotides) under Streptomyces sp. VN1. RNAcentral's name for it is "Streptomyces RNA 1601". It matches the Rfam family "Streptomyces RNA 1601". From Rfam's summary of the family: Identified by deep sequencing of transcriptome at the end of exponential growth phase. Appears longer on northern blot than sequencing transcript. The record is from Rfam by way of RNAcentral. Lineage: Bacteria; Bacillati; Actinomycetota; Actinomycetes; Kitasatosporales; Streptomycetaceae.
AACGACCGGUCGGACACGCACGCUCACGGCAGCGGGUCCGGCCCACAAGUGGAGGCUUCGAACUCCCACCUGGCCGUCCUCUGGGCGGCGGGUCACCGGUCAGGCGGUCCCUCCUCAGCGGCGGUGACCGGCCCGAAAGCGCGCCCCGCGAUCAUCGCGACGGUGCUCCGGUAGCAGUUCGAGGAGCCCCGCCUGUGAUCGGCCGGGGCAUUUUUC